This 429-nucleotide ribosomal RNA is filed under the name Actinomycetes bacterium. Its description in RNAcentral is "Actinobacteria bacterium partial 16S ribosomal RNA". It matches the Rfam family "Bacterial small subunit ribosomal RNA", at positions 355 to 776 of the family's 1533-position model. The record is from RNAcentral. Lineage: Bacteria; Bacillati; Actinomycetota; Actinomycetes.
UAGGGAAUCUUCCGCAAUGGGCGAAAGCCUGACGGAGCAACGCCGCGUGAGUGAUGAAGGUCUUCGGAUCGUAAAACUCUGUUAUUAGGGAAGAACAAAUGUGUAAGUAACUAUGCACGUCUUGACGGUACCUAAUCAGAAAGCCACGGCUAACUACGUGCCAGCAGCCGCGGUAAUACGUAGGUGGCAAGCGUUAUCCGGCAUUAUUGGGCGUAAAGCGCGCGUAGGCGGUUUUUUAAGUCUGAUGUGAAAGCCCACGGCUCAACCGUGGAGGGUCAUUGGAAACUGGAAAACUUUAGUGCAGAAGAGGAAAGUGGAAUUCCAUGUGUAGCGGUGAAAUGCGCAGAGAUAUGGAGGAAAACCAGUGGCGAAGGCGACUUUCUGGUCUGUAACUGACGCUGAUGUGCGAAAGCGUGGGGAUCAAACAGG